Molecule: ribosomal RNA, 478 nt
Filed under: uncultured bacterium
Lineage: Bacteria
Description: partial 16S ribosomal RNA
Rfam family: Bacterial small subunit ribosomal RNA
Source: RNAcentral
GAUGAACGCUGGCGGCGUGCUUAACACAUGCAAGUCGAACGAGAAAUGUAGACGGAAACCUUCGGGCGGAAGCCUUCAUUUCGAGUGGCGGACGGGUGAGUAACGCGUGGGUAACCUGCCUCAUACAGGGGGAUAACAGUUGGAAACGACUGUUAAUACCGCAUAAGACCACAGCAUCGCAUGAUGCGGGGGUAAAAACUCCGGUGGUAUGAGAUGGACCCGCGUUCGAUUAGCCAGUUGGCGGGGUAACGGCCCACCAAAGCGACGAUCGAUAGCCGAUCUGAGAGGAUGACCGGCCACAUUGGGACUGAGACACGGCCCAAACUCCUACGGGAGGCAGCAGUGGGGAAUAUUGCACCAUGGGGGAAACCCUGAUGCAGCGACGCCGCGUGAGUGAAGAAGUACUUCGGUAUGUAAAGCUCUAUCAGCAGGGAAGAAAAUGACGGUACCUGAGUAAGAAGCCCCGGCUAACUACGUG